This 468-nucleotide ribosomal RNA is filed under the name uncultured bacterium. Its description in RNAcentral is "partial 16S ribosomal RNA". It matches the Rfam family "Bacterial small subunit ribosomal RNA", at positions 28 to 507 of the family's 1533-position model. The record is from RNAcentral.
GACGAACGCUGGCGGCGUGCUUAACACAUGCAAGUCGAACGGAAAGGCCCUGCUUUUGUGGGGUGCUCGAGUGGCGAACGGGUGAGUAACACGUGAGUAACCUGCCCUUGACUUUGGGAUAACUUCAGGAAACUGGGGCUAAUACCGGAUCGGAUCUCCUGCUGCAUGGUGGGGGUUGGAAAGUUUCGGCGGUUGGGGAUGGACUCGCGGCUUAUCGGCUUGUUGGUGGGGUAGUGGCUUACCAAGGCUGUGACGGGUAGCCGGCCUGAGAGGGUGACCGGCCACAUUGGGACUGAGAUACGGCCCAGACUCCUACGGGAGGCAGCAGUGGGGAAUAUUGCACAAUGGGCGGAAGCCUGAUGCAGCAACGCCGCGUGCGGGAUGACGGCCUUCGGGUUGUAAACCGCUUUCGCCUGUGACGAAGCGUGAGUGACGGUAAUGGGUAAAGAAGCAACGGCUAACUACGUG